This 795-nucleotide ribosomal RNA is filed under the name uncultured bacterium. Its description in RNAcentral is "bacterial SSU rRNA". It matches the Rfam family "Bacterial small subunit ribosomal RNA", at positions 8 to 796 of the family's 1533-position model. The record is from RNAcentral.
AGAGUUUGAUCAUGGCUCAGAUUGAACGCUGGCGGCGUGCCUAACACAUGCAAGUCGAGCGGUAACAGGUGUAGCAAUACAUGCUGACGAGCGGCGAACGGGUGAGUAAUGCAUUGGAAUCUUCCCAGUAGUGGGGAAUAACCAGUCGAAAGAUUGGCUAAUACCGCAUACGUCUGUAAAGGGAAAGCGGGGGCUCGUAAGACCUCGCGCUAUUGGAUGAGCCAAUGUCGGAUUAGCUAGUUGGUGGGGUAAUGGCCUACCAAGGCGACAAUCCGUAGCUGGUCUGAGAGGACGACCAGCCACACCGGAACUGAGACACGGUCCGGACUCCUACGGGAGGCAGCAGUGGGGAAUAUUGGACAAUGGGGGAAACCCUGAUCCAGCGACGCCGCGUGUGUGAAGAAGGCCUGCGGGUUGUAAAGCACUUUUAGUGGGGACAAAAAGCUACGGACUAAUAUUCUGUGGUCUUGAUUUAACCCAAAGAAAAAGCACCGGCUAACUCUGUGCCAGCAGCCGCGGUAAUACAGAGGGUGCGAGCGUUAAUCGGAAUUACUGGGCGUAAAGCGCGCGUAGACGGUUUUGUAAGUCAGAUGUGAAAUCCCUGGGCUCAACCUGGGAACUGCAUUUGAUACUGCAUGGCUAGAGUAUCGAAGAGGGAAGUAGAAUUUCCGGUGUAGCGGUGAAAUGCGUAGAUAUCGGAAGGAACACCAGUGGCGAAAGCGACUUCCUGGUCAAAUACUGACGUUCAUGUGCGAAAGCGUGGGGAGCAAACAGGAUUAGAUACCCUAGUAGUCC